CAGAGGUCCCAAGCGUUGUUCGGAUUCACUGGGCGUAAAGGGUGCGUAGGCGGUCGGGUAAGUCUGGCGUGAAAUCUCCAAGCCUAACUUGGAAACUGCGUUGGAUACUAUCCGGCUCGAGGAAUGGAGGGGAGACUGGAAUACUUGGUGUAGCAGUGAAAUGCGUAGAUAUCAAGUGGAACACCAGUGGCGAAGGCGAGUCUCUGGACAUUUCCUGACGCUGAGGCACGAAAGCCAGGGGAGCAAACGGGAUUAGAUACCCCGGUAGUCCUGGCCCUAAACGGUGCGCAUUUGCUGUGAGUGGAAUCGACCCCGCUCGUGGCGAAGCUAACGCGUUAAGUGCGCCGCCUGGGAAAUACGGCCGCAAGGUUA
This 372-nucleotide ribosomal RNA is filed under the name uncultured organism. RNAcentral describes it as "bacterial SSU rRNA". It matches the Rfam family "Bacterial small subunit ribosomal RNA", at positions 526 to 896 of the family's 1533-position model. The record is from RNAcentral.